AUGCCAAUACCCUCCCAGCUGCUGCCGUUCCUCCUUGCAGCAGCGGUGGUGGCGGCGGAGGCUCACCUGAUCUUGCCUGCGUUUGCUGAACACCAAGGACGUGAAGAGCAGGAGCAGCAGCAGGCGGUGGUGGAACGUCCGGGCUGCCAGGACAUGUGCGGCAACAUCAGCAUUCCCUUCCCCUUCGGCAUGGGGAAGCCCAGGUGCUUCCUUCCUGGCUUCAAGGUCACAUGCGACACCUCCUCGUCGAAUCGCCCCCGCCUGUUCCUUGCGUACAACAUCAGCGGGCCAUUCCAGCGGACGAGCGCCCUGAACCACACGUCCACCAAGGGUGGCACUGGUUCCGGCGGGAACACCAACGCUGUGGAGCUCAUGGACAUAUCAGUUGCUGACAACGAGGCCCGAGUAUACAUCGGGGUCAGCUCCGACUGCAGCACAAAUGGUAGUAGGCAUUUCCUCGCGAAGUUUCAAGACAUAGUCUUGGGCGACGAUGGCCCGUUCCUCCUGUCAGCGACGCACAAUGUUCUCAUCGGUGUCGGCUCCAACGUCGAAUCCAUGAUGGUGACCUCAUUUGGGGAGAGGGGGAAGGAGACGAAGGCCUACAUGCCUUCCUGUCUUUCCAACCUCAUGCGGCGACUCCAGUACGCGACAGACGGUACGUGCUCCGGCUUGGGAUGUUGUCUGGCUGCCUUGCCCCCGAAUGCGCCCCCACUGACCAAUUUUGGAGUCGGGUUCAUGCCCCGGCCCAACUAUCUGUGGAAAACCAAUCCAUGCUUCUACGGCAUGUUGGCGGAGAAAUCUCGGUACAACUUCUCUACGCAUGACUUGAACGGCAUUGAGGUGCUAUACCCGGAGGGCGUACCUGUUGUGCUGGAUUUCGCCAUCAGGAAUCUUGGUUGGUGUCCACCGGAAGGACAGCAGCAACCUCCGGGCUACGCGUGUGUCAGCAGCAACAGCACUUGUGUCAACACCACCAGAGGCAAUGACUAUGUCUGCAAGUGCUUGGAGCAUUACCACGGCAACCCCUACAUCACUGAUGGAUGCCAUGACAUCAAUGAGUGCAAACUCCCUGAUUUGUAUCCUUGCUCGGUUGAUGGGGUCUGUGGCAACAGGUUGGAAGGCUAUGACUGUCCAUGCAAAGCAGGAAUGAAAGGCGAUGGCAAAACCGGACACUGUGUAGAAAAUUUCCCCCUAGCAGCAAAGGUGGUUGUAGGCCUUGCUGCUUGUAUUGUUGCACUUGUCCUCAUGGUUAUGGCCCAUCAACUCCUAACACUCAAGAGGUUCCAUGAACAAAAUGGUGGACCAGUACUAAAAGGUGUAAAGAAUAUAAAGAUAUAUAGAAGGAAAGAAAUGAAACAAAUUACAAAUAACUACAGUUGUGUCAUUGGAGAAGGAAACUUCGGGAAGGUUUAUAUGGGGACUCUAGAAGAUAAACAACAAGUGGCUAUAAAGAGGUCCAUCAAAGUUGACAAGAAUAUGAAGGCGGAAUUCACUGGGGAGGUUAUAGUACAAUCUGAGAUGAGACACAAGAACAUUGCAAGGCUCCUAGGUUGUUGCUUAGAGCUGGAUGUUCCAAUGUUGGUAUACGAAUAUGUAUCAAGAGGGAGUUUGUAUGAUGCUCUAUUUGGAUUGAGGCGUGUACAUAUCAUAUCGGUAGAUAUGCGCCUACAAAUUGCUGCUGGGUCAGCUGAAGGCCUAACAUACAUGCAUUCAGCAGGGGAGUGUACAAUCCGUCACGGUGAUGUUAAAUCUGCCAAUAUUCUUCUUGAUGAAAAUUUCUUCCCUAAAGUUUCAGACUUUGGUACCUCGAGGUUGCUCGCAGGAGGAAAGACUGAGAAGACUGAACGUGUCAUUGGGGACAUGAGUUACAUAGAUCCAAUAUAUAUGGGCCAGGGGAUUGUUACACAGAAGAGUGAUGUCUACAGCUUUGGGGUUGUUCUCAUAGAGCUUAUCACGAGGAGGCCCGCAACAUACUCUAACAAGAGGAACUAUGUUACAAGCUUUGUCGAAGCGUAUCAAGAUAAAAGAGCAAGAAACUUGAUUGACAAUGAUAUCAUAAGCGAGGUGGAUAUUAAACUCUUGGAAAUGGUCAGUGGAGUUGCCGUGGAGUGUGUAAAAUUUAAUCCCGAAGAACGCCUAGAUAUGAAACAAGUAGAGCACCGUCUCCUUGAAAUUAUUGGUCAAGGCGUGCAGGAUGGACAAGGGAGAAACUACCAGGCAGAUCUCAGUCCUGCGCCAGAUGAUGUUGCCUUGCUUAAGUCUUGGGGAGAAUGA
Molecule: ribosomal RNA, 2274 nt
Filed under: Triticum aestivum (bread wheat)
Lineage: Eukaryota; Viridiplantae; Streptophyta; Magnoliopsida; Poales; Poaceae
Description: partial small subunit ribosomal RNA
Source: RNAcentral